GAGGAAGGUGGGGACGAGGUCAAGUCAUCAUGCCCCUUACGUCUAGGGCUGCACACAUGCUACAAUGGGCGGUACAGAGGGCUGCUAAACCGCGAGGUGGAGCCAAUCCCUAAAGCCGCUCUCAGUUCAGAUUGCAGGCUGCAACUCGCCUGCAUGAAGUUGGAGUUGCUAGUAAUCCCGGAUCAGCACUGCCGGGGUGAAUACGUUCCCGGGCCUUGUACACACCGCCCGUCAAACCACGAAAGUUGGCAACACCCGAAGCCGGUGGCCUAACCGCAAGGAAGGAGCCGUCGAAGGUGGGGUCGGUGAUUGGGGUUAAGUCGUAACAAGGUAGCCGUAA
RNAcentral lists this ribosomal RNA (340 nucleotides) under uncultured bacterium. RNAcentral's name for it is "bacterial SSU rRNA". It matches the Rfam family "Bacterial small subunit ribosomal RNA", at positions 1166 to 1505 of the family's 1533-position model. The record is from RNAcentral.